UUGUGGGGCUCGUGCAAUGGAAGCCUGUGAAUCGUGUCAGGAUCGAGAGAUAGCAGCACUAAGCGGUUACUUUCAUGUGCCACGAGGGAACCUAUAAGGC
This 100-nucleotide signal recognition particle RNA is filed under the name Veillonella criceti. RNAcentral describes it as "Bacterial small signal recognition particle RNA". It matches the Rfam family "Bacterial small signal recognition particle RNA". From Rfam's summary of the family: The signal recognition particle (SRP) is a universally conserved ribonucleoprotein involved in the co-translational targeting of proteins to membranes. Archaeal SRP consists of a 7S RNA and homologues of the eukaryotic SRP19 and SRP54 proteins. Lineage: Bacteria; Bacillati; Bacillota; Negativicutes; Veillonellales; Veillonellaceae. RNAcentral also lists the same sequence under 3 other names. The record is from Rfam by way of RNAcentral.